Molecule: unclassified non-coding RNA, 342 nt
Filed under: soil metagenome
Description: partial contains 5.8S ribosomal RNA, internal transcribed spacer 2, and large subunit ribosomal RNA
Rfam family: 5.8S ribosomal RNA (bases 1-120)
Source: RNAcentral
GAUGAAGAACGUAGCGAAAUGCGAUAAGUAAUGUGAAUUGCAGAAUUUAGUGAAUCAUCGAAUCUUUGAACGCACAUUGCGCCCGCUAGUAUUCUGGCGGGCAUGCCUGUUCGAGCGUCAUUUCAACCAUCAAGCCCCCAGGGGCUUGUGCUGGGGCCCUGCGGCUGCCCGCAGGCCCUGAAAACCAGUGGCGGGCUCGCUAGUCACACCGAGCGCAGUAGCACAUCUCGCUCAGGGCGUGCGGCGGGCUCCUGCCGUGAAACCCCCCACUGUAACCCCAAAGGUUGACCUCGGAUCAGGUAGGAAUACCCGCUGAACUUAAGCAUAUCAAUAAGCGGAGGA